Molecule: ribosomal RNA, 420 nt
Filed under: uncultured bacterium
Lineage: Bacteria
Description: bacterial SSU rRNA
Rfam family: Bacterial small subunit ribosomal RNA
Source: RNAcentral
UAAGGAAUAUUGCUCAAUGGGAGAAAUCCUGAAGCAGCAACGCCGCGUGGAGGAUGAAGGGUCUAUGACUUGUAAACUCCUGUAAAGAAGGAAAAAAUUCCCAUUAGAUGGGAGAUGAUGGUACUUCUGGAGUAAGCCCCGGCUAACUACGUGCCAGCAGCCGCGGUAAUACGUAGGGGGCAAGCGUUGUCCGGAUUUACUGGGUGUAAAGGGUGCUCAGGCGGAUUUGUAAGUCAGAGGUGAAAUCUUACAGCUUAACUGUGAAACUGCCUUUGAUACUGCAAGACUAGAGUAUGGAAGAGAGCGAUGGAAUAUCAGGUGUAGCAGUGAAAUGCGUAGAUAUCAGAUAGAACACCAAUGGCGAAGGCAGUCACUUGGUCCAUUACUGACGCUAAAGCACGAAAGCGUGGGUAGCAAACA